CUACGGGCUGCUCCAGUGGGGAAUAUUGGACAAUGGGGGAAACCCUGAUCCAGCAAUGCCGCGUGUGUGAAGAAGGCCUGCGGGUUGUAAAGCACUUUCGGUUGGGAGGACUGCUUCUAGCACUAAUAUUGUUGGAAGUUGACGUUACCUUCAGAAGAAGCACCGGCUAACUCCGUGCCAGCAGCCGCGGUAAUACGGAUGGUGCAAGCGUUAAUCGGAAUUACUGGGCGUAAAGCGCGCGUAGGCGGCUAGAUCAGUCGGGUGUGAAAGCCCCGGGCUUAACCUGGGAACUGCAUCCGAUACUGUCUAGCUUGAGUACAGGAGAGGAGAGUGGAAUUCCACGUGUAGCGGUGAAAUGCGUAGAUAUGUGGAGGAACACCAAUGGCGAAGGCAGCUCUCUGGCCUGAUACUGACGCUGAGGUGCGAAAGCGUGGGGAGCAAACAGGAUUAGAUACCCCGGUAGUC
Molecule: ribosomal RNA, 465 nt
Filed under: uncultured bacterium
Lineage: Bacteria
Description: partial 16S ribosomal RNA
Rfam family: Bacterial small subunit ribosomal RNA
Source: RNAcentral